RNAcentral lists this microRNA precursor (125 nucleotides) under Hordeum vulgare. Its description in RNAcentral is "microRNA MIR1122". It matches the Rfam family "MIR1120/MIR1122 microRNA precursor family". Lineage: Eukaryota; Viridiplantae; Streptophyta; Magnoliopsida; Poales; Poaceae. The record is from RNAcentral.
UUAUUACUCCCUCCGUCCGAAAAUAGUUGUUAUAAAAAGGGAUAUAUAUAGAUGUAUUUUAGUUCUAGAUACAUUCAUUUUUGUUUAUUUAUGCGAUAAGUAAUUUCGAACUGAGGGAGUAUUUG